Molecule: ribosomal RNA, 526 nt
Filed under: uncultured beta proteobacterium
Lineage: Bacteria; Pseudomonadati; Pseudomonadota; Betaproteobacteria
Description: bacterial SSU rRNA
Rfam family: Bacterial small subunit ribosomal RNA
Source: RNAcentral
CGCGGGGCAACCUGGCGGCGAGCGGCGAACGGGUGAGUAAUGCAUCGGAACGUACCCAUUUGUGGGGGAUAACUAUCCGAAAGGAUAGCUAAUACCGCAUAAGUCCUGAGGGAGAAAGCAGGGGAUCGCAAGACCUUGCGCGAAUGGAGCGGCCGAUGCCGGAUUAGCUAGUUGGUAGGGUAAAGGCCUACCAAGGCGACGAUCCGUAGCGGGUCUGAGAGGAUGAUCCGCCACACUGGAACUGAGACACGGUCCAGACUCCUACGGGAGGCAGCAGUGGGGAAUUUUGGACAAUGGGCGCAAGCCUGAUCCAGCCAUUCCGCGUGAGUGAAGAAGGCCUUCGGGUUGUAAAGCUCUUUCGGCAGGAACGAAACGGUGGGGGCUAAUACCUCCUGCUAAUGACGGUACCUGAAGAAGAAGCACCGGCUAACUACGUGCCAGCAGCCGCGGUAAUACGUAGGGUGCGAGCGUUAAUCGGAAUUACUGGGCGUAAAGCGUGCGCAGGCGGUUAUGUAAGACAGAUGUG